AUUGAACGCUGGCGGCAGGCCUAACACAUGCAAGUCGAGCGGAUGAAGGGAGCUUGCUCCUGGAUUCAGCGGCGGACGGGUGAGUAAUGCCUAGGAAUCUGCCUGGUAGUGGGGGAUAACGUCCGGAAACGGGCGCUAAUACCGCAUACGUCCUGAGGGAGAAAGUGGGGGAUCUUCGGACCUCACGCUAUCAGAUGAGCCUAGGUCGGAUUAGCUAGUUGGUGGGGUAAAGGCCUACCAAGGCGACGAUCCGUAACUGGUCUGAGAGGAUGAUCAGUCACACUGGAACUGAGACACGGUCCAGACUCCUACGGGAGGCAGCAGUGGGGAGUAUUGGACAAUGGGCGAAAGCCUGAUCCAGCCAUGCCGCGUGUGUGAAGAAGGUCUUCGGAUUGUAAUGCACUUUAAGUUGGGAGGAAGGGCAGUAAGUUAAUACCUUGCUGUUUUGACGUUACCAACAGAAUAAGCACCGGCUAACUUCGUG
Molecule: ribosomal RNA, 484 nt
Filed under: uncultured bacterium
Lineage: Bacteria
Description: partial 16S ribosomal RNA
Rfam family: Bacterial small subunit ribosomal RNA
Source: RNAcentral